CCCUUAGAUGUCCUGGGCUGCACGCGCGCUACACUGGAAGUUACGGAUUGAGAUACUACCUUGUCCGAAAUGGUCCGGGUAAUCACCUAAAAGCUUGUCAUAAUUGGAAUGGAUUAUUGUAACUAGUAAUCCUGAACGAGGAAUUCCUAGUAAGUCCCAGUCAACAGCUGGUACUGAUUACGUCCCUGCCCUUUGUACACACCGCCCGUCGCUACUACUGAUUGGACGUUUAAGCAAGAUUUUUAAACACUGACAGUGUGUAGUUCACGCUAUACUACAGUGAGAAGAAGAAGAUCGAGCUUACUUGUCUAGAGGAAGAAAAAGUCGUAACA
RNAcentral lists this ribosomal RNA (332 nucleotides) under uncultured eukaryote. RNAcentral describes it as "partial 18S ribosomal RNA". It matches the Rfam family "Eukaryotic small subunit ribosomal RNA", at positions 1470 to 1796 of the family's 1831-position model. The record is from RNAcentral.